Molecule: ribosomal RNA, 468 nt
Filed under: uncultured bacterium
Lineage: Bacteria
Description: partial 16S ribosomal RNA
Rfam family: Bacterial small subunit ribosomal RNA
Source: RNAcentral
GACGAACGCUGGCGGCGUGCUUAACACAUGCAAGUCGAACGGAAAGGCCCUGCUUUUGUGGGGUGCUCGAGUGGCGAACGUGUGAGUAACACGUUAGUAACCUGCCCUUUACUUUGUGAUAACUUCAGGAAACUGGGGCUAAUACCUGAUAUGAUCUCCUGCUGCAUGGUGGUGGUUGGAAAGUUUCGGCGGUUGGGGAUGGACUCGCGGCUUAUCAGCUUGUUGGUGGGGUAGUGGCUUACCAAGGCUUUGACGGGUAGCCGGCCUGAGAGGGUGACCGGACACAAUGGGACUGAGAUACGGCACAGAAUACAACGGGAGGCAGCAGUGGGGAAGAGUGCAAAAUGGGAGGAAGCGUGAUGAAGAAAAGCAGCGAGCGGGAUGAAGGAAUUCGGGUUGUAAACAGAGGUAGAAUGUGAAGAAGAGUGAGUGACGGUAAUGGGUAAAGAAGCAACGGCUAACGACGUG